CCCUGUCAGCACAGAGCCCGAUGUGGGGCUCUGACUCAAGAACCGUGAGAUCAUGACCUGAGCCGAAAUCGAGGGUCAGAUGCUUAACUGACAGAGCCACCCAGGCGCCCCUCUCUUAGCUGUUUUUGAUGGGAGGGUCAGGAGGGGAGACGGCAAAAGGGGAUGGGAGAGGAAGGGCUGUGUCUGCCUCUGCCAUCAUGAAUCAAGGCUGCACCCCAGCCUGGGUGCCGAGCGUGUGAGUGCCGGCUGGUGGAUCGCCCUUGCCUGUGCCCCCAACAUGUGGAACCGGUGUGAGUGUGCUCAGCUCCAGGGGUCGUGCAACGGAAAGAACAGAUGGAAGUUUUCAGGUCAUGGCAAUGAAGAGAGUUCCCUUUCCACAUAGCUAAAGAAAAAAAGGAAUACGUCAGGACUGUGAAAUUUUGAGAUGAGAAAGAAGGCACAACAGUAACACAGGUGGAGUAAAACGGAAACAGAUGCUCCUCAAGGAAGCUUUGUCCCCCUCUGGGCUCACAGAGAGUCUUUAGCUCCUGGAUGCACCUUCCUGUGCCUCACGGGUUCAUGAAGAUCCACCACUCCAGCCGCUCGCACUGCUUGCGACCUUGCCCGAGAAAAGGUCCUCCCGCCCUCUCAUCUGGAACUUGUAUAUUCCAGAAACUCUUAGAGGAUGUUCUUUAUUACCACGUUUCUCAAGCUGUGGAUUUGACAAGCUGCAGAAUUUGAGUUCAUUUUAUUUUCGUUCAGAAAACAUAGGCACCUGGUUUUGGUAUGUAUAAAAAUCAGCAACAUGGAAACAAGCAUACCAAGCAAAGUUCAGAUGAGACAUGAAGGUAAAGAAAGAUUUCUUUGGUAUUUGGUGGAUCUCCUCACCAGGACAACUGUGAUAAUUAAGAUAUUCCUUCUUCCUUUAUUUAUUCAUUCCUUCAUCAACUACUCAGUGUGCAUUUACGCAUCCUAUGCAUUUUCUAGGAGCUGGUGAUAGAUCAGUGAGCGAAAUAGACUAAAAUCUUUUUCCUCGUGAUUAUACCCUACUGGGAAGAUACAUAAUAAACACAAUAAUAAGAAAAGGAUAUAUUCAUUUUAGGGGUGUUCAAAGAUGAUUAGUCUAUAGGAAAAUAUAAAAUAGGAAGAUCAGUUGUGUGGAGGGAAGGAAGGUCUCGGUUGUCCCAGUGAGAAUACAGUAUUUGGGCAGAACUUUGAAGGAGAUGUGGAAUGAGCCAUAUGGGUAUUUGGAGAAGAGGGUCUUGCUCCAGAGAGCAGCCCAGACAAAGAUCUGAGGUAGAAAAGUGCUGAGCAUGGUCAGGGAAUAGCAGGAACUGAGAGAGAGAGGGAGAUGAGGUCAAGUCAUGAGGGUGGCAGUGUGUGUGGACAACCAUCCAAGAGAAGAACCAGGAACUCAGUCAAAGAAUUUGCCGCAGGCUUCAAGUCAAUGCACAGUUAAGCAGCGUCAGUUUCACCUCCUGGAUUUCAGAUUCCUUUCCUCGUCUCCAUUCCCACUGCCUUGCCCUCCUCCAGCCUGCUGUCGGUUCUCCCCAGGGCGGCCUCACCUCUGACCUGGUUGGCCCCAUGUCUACUCCUGUAUUCAACAACCCUUUCCCCACACUGCAGCCAGGCACCUAUAAUCAGCUCCCUUUUGGUCAUGAGAGACUAAAAUUUUUUAUGGCCUCUAAGUUUUGAUUUUACCCACCUGUCCAGGCUCCUCUGGUAGCACACAGCUCUGUGAUACCUCCCAUCACUGGAGCUGUACAGAGAUGCUUCUCUUUCCCAGAAAUCAAGGUCUUGUUCACUUCCCCACUCUCCAGGGCACCCUCCCCACAUACAUCAUAUUAACUGCUGCUUGUAUUUUCUCUAUCAGCUCACAAGUCCAUUUUUCAGGAAAAACUGACCUGCUGCCCGUGCCGUGUAUGUGCAUUUUGCAUAUUAUGGUCAUUUUGCUGACUGUAAUUGUGCUAGAUCAUCAAUUUAAGGUUUAUAGAUGCACUUCUGGGAGUUUCUGUUCUUAGAAGAUUUGGGGAGCUAAAACUGAAUCUGCUCAUUAAAAAAUAGUAUUUGAGAGGCACGCGGGUGGCCCAGCAGGUCAAGCGUCUGACUUCAGCUCAGGUCAUGACCUCACAGGUCAUGGAUUCCAGCCCCACCUCAGGCUCUGUGCUGACAGCUCAGAGCCUGGAGCCUGCUUUAGAUUCUGUGUCUCCCACCGCCCCCCUGCCCUCCCCAACUCGCGCUCUGUCUCUGUCUCUAUCUCUCUAAAAUAAAAUUAAAAAAAAUCUUUUUAAAUAGUAUUAGAAUGUUAUGCUAAAAUGUUUCGCUUUUGGAGGGAUUCAGACUUUUAGACAGAUCACUCAUGGAAGCACUGUCGUAAAGAAUUUGCAGAAGUUGUUGGUUACUGGGGCAUCUGGGUGGCUCAGUCAGUUGAGCGUCUGACUUCCGCUCAGGUCAUGAUCUCGUGGUUCGUGAGUUCGAACCCCGCGUCGGCUCUGUGCUGACAGCUCAGGGCCUGGAGCCUGCUUCGGAUUCUGUGUCUCCCUCUCUCUGCUCCUCCCCUGCUCACACUCUGUCUCUCUCUCAAAAAUAAAUAAAGAUUAAAAGAAAAUUAAAAAAAGAAGUUGUUGGUUACUAAUGCCAAAGGUUUUUGAGAAGUAUUCUUAGAUGCCCAUGAACUUUACAUCAGGGAUAGUCAGAAAACUCCAUAUGAUAAAAGGAAGGGAGUUGCAUCUCAUUUCUUCAAAAAGGAAAUAGAAAACCAAAAGGCUUUACAACUGGUCAGAAGUAGUCAGGCUCCUUUCAUGAUGUGAGGAAGGGCAUAUGCCUCUACAAACCUAACAGGCUUCCCUCUGGGUUUCUGGUAGGUCAAAAAUCCUGAGAGGAUUGAGAGAGAAGGAAAUACGAAAGAUUUUUCCUGAGAAUAAAGGUAGCUAGAAAAGCAAACCAAAUACAUCUUUUCAAUUAGCUCUAAAUGCUUAAGCUAGGAAAAUUGACCCUGGUGGGGACAGAUGGCGGGCUUUGAAAGCUGUCCAGAGAGGCAAUUGCUGACAGACAGUUUGAAGUGCUUUUCCUGAUUCUCUGUGAUGAGUCAUCCUUUUAUAGGGCAAACCUGUCAUCUAGGUGCCAAACAGGUCGCCAUAGGAGAGUGAGUUGAGGUUGGUGCCUUGAAGUUUCCAGAGUUAAUGUUGGCCACCAUUCUUCGGGGGGUCUCCUCCCUGUAGUUAGAGUCAGAGCCAAGCUUUCAAAAGAAAAAGCAGAUGAACAGACAAAAAAGAAAGCCCAUUUUUCCCCUUCUUCUCUUAUGAUAGUGAAAUAGAAAAGUGGAAAGAAGAAAAAACUCCACUCAUUGUACCAUUCCUAUCAUUUACCAAGUUUCCGAAUAUGAUCAUACAGUGAUUAGUUGCAAGCAGGAGAGGAGAAGUCGGGCUCGUGUAAGCAGAAAACACAGGCACUAAAUAGCUCACAAAAUCUCCGAAAUCAGGCGGAGAGUUGACCGUGUCGUGAAAAAUGGUUAAAAAAAAUCAUUCUGCAGACUGGUCCUUUGCAGACAUCCCACGGUCUUUCCUGGACCCAGACAGAGAUAUCCCUAGUGCGCUGUUAAUCACGGCUGAUUCUAGAAACUGGAUUUGCUUUGCCUCAAGUGCCAGCCUCAGAACAUUUAAUUCUGGGCAGUUCCUCCCUUUUUUGAUUGCAAAUCCUUGUCCCAAAUCUGGCACGAAAGCACCUGAGCGACAGAGCCUGGGUGUUCUUGCUGCAAGGGAUGCUGGGAACAUUUUAGCCUCUUUUCAGGGUGGAUACCCCAAACACAGAAGGAAGGUUCAGACGCUGGUUUAAAAAAAAUCAUGACAGGGGCGCCUGGGUGGCGCAGUCGGUUAAGCGUCCGACUUCAGCCAGGUCACGAUCUCGCCAGGUCUGAUCUAGCC
Molecule: long non-coding RNA, 3902 nt
Organism: Felis catus (domestic cat)
Lineage: Eukaryota; Metazoa; Chordata; Mammalia; Carnivora; Felidae
Exons: 3
Source: RefSeq, a predicted model, not a curated record